RNAcentral lists this ribosomal RNA (501 nucleotides) under uncultured bacterium. Its description in RNAcentral is "partial 16S ribosomal RNA". It matches the Rfam family "Bacterial small subunit ribosomal RNA", at positions 30 to 523 of the family's 1533-position model. The record is from RNAcentral.
AUUGAACGCUGGCGGCAGGCUUAACACAUGCAAGUCGAGCGGAGAGAGGUAGCUUGCUACUGAUCUUAGCGGCGGACGGGUGAGUAAUGCUUAGGAAUCUGCCUAUUAGUGGGGGACAACAUUUCGAAAGGAAUGCUAAUACCGCAUACGUCCUACGGGAGAAAGCAGGGGAUCUUCGGACCUUGCGCUAAUAGAUGAGCCUAAGUCGGUUUAGCUAGUUGGUGGGGUAAAGGCCUACCAAGGCGACGAUCUGUAGCGGGUCUGAGAGGAUGAUCCGCCACACUGGGACUGAGACACGGCCCAGACUCCUACGGGAGGCAGCAGUGGGGAAUAUUGGACAAUGGGCGGAAGCCUGAUCCAGCCAUGCCGCGUGUGUGAAGAAGGCCUUAUGGUUGUAAAGCACUUUAAGCGAGGAGGAGGCUACUUUAGUUAAUACCUAGAGAUAGUGGACGUUACUCGCAGAAUAAGCACCGGCUAACUACGUGCCAGCAGCCGCCGUAA